UGUAAUGAUGACUGACUAGAGUCUCUGACAUUUUAGAUGAUGUCAAAAAUUAAGCUCAACA
RNAcentral lists this small nucleolar RNA (61 nucleotides) under Bemisia tabaci. RNAcentral's name for it is "small nucleolar RNA SNORD52". It matches the Rfam family "Small nucleolar RNA SNORD52". From Rfam's summary of the family: U52 belongs to the C/D class of snoRNA which contain the C (UGAUGA) and D (CUGA) box motifs. Most of the members of the box C/D family function in directing site-specific 2'-O-methylation of substrate RNAs. The record is from RNAcentral. Lineage: Eukaryota; Metazoa; Arthropoda; Insecta; Hemiptera; Aleyrodidae.